GAUGAAGAACGCAGCGAAAUGCGAUAAGUAAUGCGAAUUGCAGAAUUCCGUGAGUCAUCGAAUCUUUGAACGCACAUUGCGCCCUUUGGCAUUCCGAAGGGCAUGCCUGUUCGAGCGUCAUUUAUCAACCCUCAAGCCCGGCUUGCGGUUGGGUCCCGCCGUGGGCGACCACGGCGGACCCGAAAGGUAAUGGCGGUGCCCGUGGGGCCCUGGACGCAGCGAGCUUCUCGGCACGCGUCCCGGCGGUCCCCGGCGCCGUCUCCACCAAUCCACCACGCAGAUUGACCUCGGAUCAGGUAGGGAUACCCGCUGAACUUAAGCAUAUCAAUAAGCGGAGGA
This 339-nucleotide unclassified non-coding RNA is filed under the name soil metagenome. Its description in RNAcentral is "partial contains 5.8S ribosomal RNA, internal transcribed spacer 2, and large subunit ribosomal RNA". The stretch from base 1 to 120 matches the Rfam family "5.8S ribosomal RNA", at positions 35 to 154 of the family's 154-position model. The record is from RNAcentral.